UUCAUCUGGAAACUCAGGUGUCUGUUAUGUGUUUGCAUGAUGUAAGCAUUCCGGACAUUGCUGUGCUUUAAAUAAGAAUAAUAACAGGAUGGAAAGGACGGACAUAAAACCAGAGGUUAUCCAGAAAACAUCAAAGAAUAACACACACCCUGUGAAACAGCCACAAGAAUGGAUGAUGUGGUUCAUUGGGUAUGAUGCACCCAAGGACCUCACUCCUGUGAUGGAUGCCAUUCCUGCCUCAGAAAACUAUGUGAUCAGUUUGUCAAGGGUAAGUUUAAUAGCAUAGGAACAGUCCACGUAAUAUUAUUUUAGUUUAUUUUUUGAAGGAAAAAUGAAGUUGUGACUUCCUCUCUUCCCUACAUUCACCUGCCAGCAACUGUGGUCAUACUAUAACCACUUCAGACAGAAGAUUCAGGAUCUGAAAGAUAAGUUUCUGCAAGUUUCAUGAAAACUAGUGACUUUGCUGAAGCAAGAGGUUGUGACUUGUCCUCAGUGCAAAAAUUGCCAGGUAAGAGGAUAUAUUCUGUUUGGCCUGCCACUUGAAUGUUGAACAUGAACCUGUUUGCUAGUUGGCAUAUGUACAUAGCUUUAAAAUACCUACAGCCAAUGCUACAUCAUGCCAGCUUGCAGCCAGGGAAAGGAAGCAUGGGAUAUGAAGGGAAGGUGGAGAGGGACUAGGAAGAAGCAUGGGGUACAUUGGAGCUAUUACUGUCAUGGCUGAGGAAUGGGUGGACUUAACAGGUCCAUUGGAUAUGAAGGGAAAUUAACAGCAUUGACUCUGAUAAAUGGGAUUUUUGCUGUCAGUAGUGUGUAAAUCCACAGGAAAGGUGGCACCAUUUAUUCUACUUGUCUUGGAACAACCUGUUUGUUACCAUUAAAAGAUUGGACCUUUUUGUUUCAUAACUGAGCAGAACGCUUCUGGGCAUCUGAGCUGGCCUAGCUGUUACAAGCUGCCUUAGCCUGCCUCUAAAUUUGCAGUCUGGUGGAUUCUUCUUUAUCCAGCCUAAUUCCAGUUUCAGUUUCUCUGCUGAGUUUGCCUAGAAAGUCUACUGUUUUCCUGCCAGGUCUGAAGGUAAGAAUAAGCUUGCCACAGGGAAAUUUUUGUUUGAAAUAGAAACACAAGAAAUUUUUACCAAGAUGGGGCAUGGUAAAUAGACAGGAC
Molecule: long non-coding RNA, 1162 nt
Filed under: Anas platyrhynchos platyrhynchos (common mallard)
Lineage: Eukaryota; Metazoa; Chordata; Aves; Anseriformes; Anatidae
Description: lncRNA (ENSAPLG00000030731.1)
Source: RNAcentral